This 497-nucleotide ribosomal RNA is filed under the name uncultured bacterium. RNAcentral's name for it is "partial 16S ribosomal RNA". It matches the Rfam family "Bacterial small subunit ribosomal RNA", at positions 28 to 507 of the family's 1533-position model. The record is from RNAcentral.
GAUGAACGCUGGCGGCGUGCCUAAUACAUGCAAGUCGAGCGAACAGAUGAGGAGCUUGCUCCUCUGACGUUAGCGGCGGACGGGUGAGUAACACGCGGAUAACCUACCUAUAAGACUGGGAUAACUUCGGGAAACCGGAGCUAAUACCGGAUAAUAUAUUGAACCGCAUGGUUCAAUAGUGAAAGACGGUUUUGCUGUCACUUAUAGAUGGAUCCGCGCCGCAUUAGCUAGUUGGUAAGGUAACGGCUUACCAAGGCAACGAUGCGUAGCCGACCUGAGAGGGUGAUCGGCCACACUGGAACUGAGACACAGUCCAGACUCCUACGGGAGGCAGCAGUAGGGAAUCUUCCGCAAUGGGCGAAAGCUUGACGGAGCAACGCCGCGUGAGUGAUGAAGGUCUUCGGAUCGUAAAACUCUGUUAUUAGGGAAGAACAAAUGUGUAAGUAACUAUGCACGUCUUGACGGUACCUAAUCAGAAAGCCACGGCUAACUACGUG